AGGUACAAGGUUCAGCCACGUCAAGCAACUCCAUGGAAAGCAAGAACUUAGUGGCCAUGAAUUUUUACCUUCGGUUGGGGCGACCACGGAGGAAAAGCAAGCCUCCGAGUGGACUGGGCCAAGACCCCUAAAGCCAUAAGAGACAUCUUUAAGCCGCAGAACAUCUGACCAAUAAUGAUCCGGCUAGAAGCCGAUCAGCGGACCAAGUUACCCUAGGGAUAACAGCGCAAUCCUCUCCCAGAGCCCAUAUCGACGAGGGGGUUUACGACCUCGAUGUUGGAUCAGGACAUCCUGGUGGUGCAGCCGCUAUUAAG
This is a ribosomal RNA of 314 nucleotides. It matches the Rfam family "Bacterial large subunit ribosomal RNA", at positions 2088 to 2569 of the family's 2925-position model.